GAUGAACGCUGGCGGCGUGCCUAAUACAUGCAAGUCGAGCGAACGGACGAGAAGCUUGCUUCUCUGAUGUUAGCGGCGGACGGGUGAGUAACACGUGGAUAACCUACCUAUAAGACUGUGAUAACUCCGGGAAAGCGUAGCUAAUACCGACGAAUAUUUUGAACCGCAUGGUUCAAUACUGAAAUACGGUCUUGCUGUUACUUAUAGAUGGAUCCGCGCUGCAUUAGCUAGUUGGUAAGGUAACGGCUUACCAAGGCAACGAUGAAUAGCCGACCUGAGAGGAUGAUCAGCCACACUGGAACUGAGACACGGUCCAGACUCCUACGGGAGGCAGCAGUAGGGAAUCUUCCGCAAAGGGCGAAAGCCUGACGGAGCAACGCCGCGUGAGUGAUGAAGGUCUUCGGAUCGUAAAACUCUGUUAUUCGGGAAGAACAUAUGUGUAAGAAACUGUGCACAUCUUGACGGUACCUAAUGAGAAAGCAACGGCUAACUACGUG
This 497-nucleotide ribosomal RNA is filed under the name uncultured bacterium. Its description in RNAcentral is "partial 16S ribosomal RNA". It matches the Rfam family "Bacterial small subunit ribosomal RNA", at positions 28 to 507 of the family's 1533-position model. The record is from RNAcentral.